AUUGUUAGGCACAAUUAUGUGAUGGCAAGUGUACUGGCUGUAAGAGGGGAAAGAUUAGCAAAAGAGCUGUACUUUCUACAAAAUGCAGAAGGGUCUGGGUUGGCUCCAUUUGAUUGUUGGCUCUGCUUACGAGGAAUUAAGACAAUGGCUUUACGAAUUGAGAAGCAGCAGGGAGUGUGAAGUCUCUCAUAAGCCUGCCAUGCUUCAUGUCUCAUGCUAGCAUACCAGCUGAGGUUUUAGGGUGAAGUUGUUUUGGAAAUGUGGUGGUGCUUUUUGGGUUGUGGCACAAAUCUUGAAAAUAUACGCCAAGUUGGAAGGACAAUUUUGAUUUGUUUAUUUAGUUUUUAGUUCUUUCUCUGAUUUGUUUAUUCAGUUUUAAUUGA
Long non-coding RNA from Humulus lupulus (European hop), 383 nucleotides. RefSeq lists it as uncharacterized. The transcript has 3 exons. NCBI's taxonomy places the organism in Eukaryota, Viridiplantae, Streptophyta, Magnoliopsida, Rosales, Cannabaceae. The record is from RefSeq and is a predicted model, not a curated record.